Molecule: ribosomal RNA, 324 nt
Filed under: Enterococcus faecium
Lineage: Bacteria; Bacillati; Bacillota; Bacilli; Lactobacillales; Enterococcaceae
Description: bacterial SSU rRNA
Rfam family: Bacterial small subunit ribosomal RNA
Source: RNAcentral
UUUUAUGAGAGUUUGAUCCUGGCUCAGGACGAACGCUGGCGGCGUGCCUAAUACAUGCAAGUCGAACGCUUCUUUUUCCACCGGAGCUUGCUCCACCGGAAAAAGAGGAGUGGCGAACGGGUGAGUAACACGUGGGUAACCUGCCCAUCAGAAGGGGAUAACACUUGGAAACAGGUGCUAAUACCGUAUAACAAUCAAAACCGCAUGGUUUUGAUUUGAAAGGCGCUUUCGGGUGUCGCUGAUGGAUGGACCCGCGGUGCAUUAGCUAGUUGGUGAGGUAACGGCUCACCAAGGCCACGAUGCAUAGCCGACCUGAGAGGGUGA